UCGACUGUGAUUUAAAGAAUCAAUUAAAAUUCCUAUAAGGGCAAAUUAAGAACUAAGAGCAAAGAAAAUUUCUAUAUAUUUGCAAUCACUGGUCCCACAAAAUCACUUUACAGUGAAGGUAUGGUACUAAUCUGAUGUCCCUGGGAACUUGGCAUGAACCUGUCUCUUGUAGGUUGCUUCUCCAUUGCAGCCUCUGUUGUACCUGAGACCUCCCUGCAUGUAGCUGGUAAUUUGUCAGUCACCACUAUUAUCUAUUUCUGGUAUCACCUAAAUAUCAUCACCAGACGACAAAUUAUUGCAAUAUAAAUCAAUAAAAUAGUGCCUGAUUUUUCAAUUUCUGUGUAUCACUAUCAGAAGUCCUAAAGCUAGCUCUUAAUAAUUUUUAUAAAGAUAGAAUGCUAGAUUGGUGUUAAAUACCAUUAACCUCAUGGCACAAAGUCCCAUUACAUAUUUGUAUGCUCCUAUGCUUAAAAGCUAUGUGGUCAGAAAAAUAUAAUCAUAAUAAAUAUUAUCUCUGGCUGCCACUAAUGUGUUUGAGACCACCUUAAAAUUGGUCACACACUCACACUCAUUAUAAUUGAAAGUCAAUACUUGAAGAUUUUAGCUAUCCUCUAAGAGUUGUAAUCCCUUAUCUGUCACCUGAGAACCAGAGACAUAAAGUGAAAGCAAAGACAACCUUUACGAAGACAUGACAUCCAUCCAACAACCAUCAUGCAAUCCAAUAUAUUCAUCUAAGAAAAUAUCCUGCCAUUUAGAAUACACAUAUGAUAAGUAGAGUUGUCUCCAUUACAUAAAUUCAUUAGUAGUAAAUACUCAAAUGUAAGCAAGAUUUCCAAUUCCACCAAGCUUAUCCUACAACAACACCUUAAAAUAAUGACACAGAGAGAGGCUGUGGUAUCAAAACAUCCUCCUCGACAACUGUUUUAAACAGAAAACGAAACCAAAAAAUAAAUUUUAUGAGAAAAGGAAAUUGAAAUAAUCAAAUAAAAAAAAAAACUUAAGUAGGAAAAUUUCAAAUAGGAACCAGUAUUUUUGUAUUACACACUCUUAGCUUGCAUUAGGCGAAUUUUGAUUUACACAUACUUUACACACGUACGUACAUGAUUAGCUAAUGAAAGUGGUACCUUUGAUGAUAAUAUUGCAUAUGAAGGACUUCUCAUGAAGAAGACACUGCUUCAGGUUUAUGGUCUUCAGGAGCUCUUGAGGGAUGGAGAAGAAAGAAAGUGGUGGAAGAGCUUAUCCUAUGAGAGAGUUAUAAACUUGAACUGGACUUUUGAUAGAGAAAAUAACUACUGGUUUAAAGAUCAGAAUCCUUACUCUAGUUCAUGGUAUGUAAGCGAAUGUGGCACUGACUGAGCACUCUGAUGGCAGGUGAAAUAGAAAGGAUUGUUAUUUUUCUCCAUUCAAUGAGUAAUUAAAAGGGAAAUCAGUUUCGAAUAGAAUGCGUGAAAGGCUUCAAAUUGUGAUAAAUGCAAUAUAUUGUUGUUACAAAAUGCAAUGAGUAAUUUAUAAUUUGAUAUUGUAUUAAUAGUAAAUAUCAAU
Molecule: long non-coding RNA, 1542 nt
Filed under: Glycine max (soybean)
Lineage: Eukaryota; Viridiplantae; Streptophyta; Magnoliopsida; Fabales; Fabaceae
Description: long non-coding RNA (GMAX_LNC004221)
Source: RNAcentral